This is a long non-coding RNA of Solanum dulcamara, 1555 nucleotides long. RefSeq lists it as uncharacterized. The transcript is spliced from 4 exons. The record is from RefSeq and is a predicted model, not a curated record. NCBI's taxonomy places the organism in Eukaryota, Viridiplantae, Streptophyta, Magnoliopsida, Solanales, Solanaceae.
UUUUGGAAAAUGACCAUUUUACCCCUCUCUUUAGAUGCCCCGAGUCAUUUUUAAUUGUUAUCGGGUGUUGAUUUUUAGAAAAUCCUAUGAAAAGUUAAGUCCUUGGAAAUUUUGAGCUUCAUAAGCUUUAAGUGUUAAAAAGUGGUAUUUGGGGUCAAUCGGAGCUACAGAUCUCGGAACGGAAUUCCGUCGAUUCCAGCAGCUCUGAAAUGUCGAAAUUGGGUUAGGAGACUUUACGGAAUCAGUUUUGGAGCUGUAACGAAGAUUUGAGGCCUUGAGUUGAGAAUUUGAGGAACUUUAAGCCAAGGUUUGACUUUGGUCAACUUUUGGAGUUUCGAUGCUCAGAAUGGAAUUCCGACAACUCCGUUGGAUUCAGGAGAUGGUUUUUGGUCUAGAAGAAGUGUUGGUUGAAUUUUUAGAGGCCCCGAGUCCAUUUUGGUAUUUUAAAGGCCUAAAUUAGUUUAGUUGCGACUUUUUGAGUUUUGGGCUAACGAAAUCUCGAAUUCAAAUUCUGAUGGUUCCAUCAGCUCCGGAAUGACCAAAUUAGGCUAGUAGCACUGUUGGAAUAACUAUCGAGUCAAUCGAUACGAGUUUGGGGCUAUUUGGCGCUUUUGACUUUGAAACUUAGCCUAUAGUUGACUUUGGUCAACAUUCUUGGAAAAUGCGCUCGAAUAAAAAUUCUGACAGCGCGGUUAGUUCCGGAAUGUUGAUUUUAGUCUAGAACGACCCUUCGUUCGCUUUUUGAGACUUCCGGACUAAUAUCGAGGCCCGCUGUGAAAUAUGACUUAAAAUGACUCUUGGAUGUGGGACCCACUUUUUAUUAUAAUAACCUCGUAUGAGAAUUCUGAAUGCGCCAUUGAGUCCGAAAUAUCGAAUUUAGUAGGGUAGCAUAUUUGGUUUAUUUUUAUCUGAUUCCGAACGAAUUCCGAAGGUUCGUUCGGAGACUUUAAAUUGUGGCAAAACCAGAAAAUCUGCAGCAACAGUGCAGAAAAAUUUUCAGAUUUUCUCCUCAACUUUGAACCCUCAUUUCUUGAGUUCUAGAGCUCCAAAUUGGGUGAUUCAAAAGGCAAAAUUGUGAGGUUUUUCGUGGAGAACGCAUUGGAGAGAUUGAAAACUGAUUUGGAGUAUUCGAUUCAGGGUCUAAAUUCAAUAGAAUUUCGUGAGGAAUCUCUUGGUAAUCUCAGAAAUGCUAGGAGAAGCUUCGUUUGAGCUUGGCAGCAUUCCGAGGCCGUUCGAAAGGGAAAAGCUCCAGCACAGUGAUUUGGAGCCCGCUUGUUUGGCCUACAGGACCGAGCACCAGCUACUGUCACAAAUAGAUCGAUCUUGUUGUAGUCAGAUUCGGAGACUAGGGUGAUAACUUGGCGUUUUUGGAUCACUUCUGUCUCCUUCAGAAUGGAUGGCCCGUCUUUUGCCUUCUGAGACUAGCCAGUUGUUUUAUAUCUUUUUGGUCCACUUUCGGGACUUGUACUCAUAUUUUAUUUUGUUGCAGCUCUGUACUUGUGACUUCCAGGUUCUGGGAGGGAUCUUUAGUUGUUUAAAACAUGUUUUGGUUUAC